AGAAGCUGACAUGUAGGCCGCUCACGACUACGGGUCCAUCGAAUCAGUGACGGAACCGGCCCACGCCCACAGGCUCCGUUAAAAACUGACCAAACCCUCUCCCCACAAUCCUUCGAACAAUCUCCUCCGAGCUCGCAAAUCCGCCGCCGCCGCCAUGGGCGACUACGGGAACGCGAUGAUGAGGAACCAGGAUGCGGGCGUGCAGUCUCGCGUGAAGGCGCAGAGCCGUGCCAACCUCCUCCAGCUCAAGCUCAUCGGGCAGAGCCAUCCGACGGGGCUGACGACGAACCUGCUGAAGCUGUUCGAGCCACGCCCCCCGCUCGAGCACAAGCCGCCGCUCGAGAAGCGCAAGUUGCCGGCUUACUCUGGGAUGUCGCAGUUUGUAUCGCGGUUCGCAGAGCCUGGUGACCCCGAGUAUGCUCCGCCCGUCCCCACGUGCGAGACUAGGGCUGAAAAGAAGGAUAGAAUUCGUCAACUUAAGCUUGAGGAAGGUGCAGCUAAGGUUGCUGAAGAGCUCCAGAAGUACGACCCACAAAAUGACCCCAAUGUCACUGGAGAUCCAUACAAAACACUCUUUGUUGCACGACUUGGCUACGAGACAUCCGAGCAGAAGGUUAAAAGGGACUUUGAAGCUUAUGGGCCUAUUAAAAGGGUACGGCUCAUAACUGACAAGGUAACAAAUAAACCUAGAGGAUAUGCAUUCGUAGAGUAUGCACACACUCGGGACAUGAAAAGUGCUUAUAAGCAAGCUGAUGGGAGAAAAGUGGAUAACAAAAGGGUGCUUGUUGAUGUAGAGCGUGGUAGAACUGUUCCAAAUUGGCGUCCUAGGAGAUUGGGUGGUGGACUUGGAUCAAGCAGGAUUGGUGGUGAAGAUGCUGCCCAGAAGCAUUCUGCUAGAGAGCAACAGAAUGCUGCUGGACGACCCAGAUCAGAAGAGCCUAGGAGGGAUGAUCGUCCUGCAGAUCGGGAUCGUGAGAAAUCUCGUGAUAGGGUACGGGAAAGAGAUCGUGACGAAAAAACUCGUGAACGCUCGCAUGACAGGACCCGUGAUCGUGAUCCAAGGGAAGAUAGACACCACCAUAGAGAUCGUGAGAGAACUCGUGAUAGGGACCGAGAACGGGACCAGGAGAGAGACCGUGGGCGUGACCGGCGUGAUAGGGAUAGGCACAAGGAUCAUGGCCGGGAUAGAGACCAGGAUAGAGACAGGAAACGUGAGCGCUCUCAUGGCAGGGGCAGAGACCGUGACAGAGAUUACGAGCGUGCAAGUCAUGAACAGGACCCUGGCAGGGACCGAGAUUACAAGCGUGCGCGCCAUGAACAUGAUCGUGGUCACUUGCAGGAGAGUGAUGCUGAUUAUGGCAAUGGUGAGCUUGGCUAUAACCAGCAUGAGCACCACAGAAGUCACGAACAGUAUGGUUAUGGCCUAGAUGGACAUGAGCGCUCAAAGCGACAUGAGCAUUACCGGGAUGAUCCACACAGUAAAAUGGCAACCAACCAUCAGGGGCAACCUGAAAAUGCAGAACCUGCAGUCCCCGAGGAAGGGGAGGCAUAUGAAGAAGGGGACUACCAGCAUAUCCAAGCGAGUGAAUACAGGAACUAAAACUUGAUAGCUGUGGUAAGGCUUUGUUAACACAGUAAUAUUCGCAUCAUUUCAGCUGUUCCCAGUGGUUCUCUCGCCUUUUUCUUGUCGGCACUUCCAGUCUUAUCCCACUUAUUUUGUGUGUGUUUGUUUGUUGUAUGCUAUUUGUAAUAAUUUGCUGGAUAAUGCUUGUGGUUUGUGUUCACUUGUUAGUGAUGUUCUAUGUAAUUUUGAAGCCAAUGGCCAAUCAAUGUGAACUUGUUACUUGCCUAAUGCGGCUUGAGUUUAUGCUUUUUUGUUGGUUUCGACAGUUCCUGUAGAUGCAAGCGUAACAUGGGCGUGGUUGCUGGUUAUAAAGUGGACUGUGGAUCAAGUUACUCAUUUCUUUUACUUUGUUUCUUGUUUCCUUGUAAAUGAUUUUGUUGAUCAUCUGAGGAAUGUAGUUUUUGCUGUUGAAAAAAAGCUUAGGGGCUUUUACUAUACUAAAUGUUCUUUUUUUUGCUGUUGCGUCUUUGCAGUUUGCUUCUGUCAACAUUGUAAACUGAGAAGUCAGAGGCCUUGAAAUGGCAAACGGAGCUUAGAGCAUCUGUAACUCCUUUUGAAUCGGAUAUUGGAUAGGCUAAGCAGUGUAGCCCGAUUUCUCUAUGGUUUUGCUGAACUUGCCUUUUGGGCCCUUUAGGGGGAACUGGUCAAGCCUUUGGGCCUUUGUGGUUCUUUUUGAAGAAAAUGGUAGUAGGUGUAGCCUGAUUUCUCUAUGGUUUUGCUGAACUUCAAGCCUUUGGGGCCAGUUAGGGAAUUUUGAUGGAUGGUGGCACUAAGAUGUAUAAGAAAGUGUACAUCUCCAACACAGCCCGAAAAUUGGUGCCCCAAAAUGCGCUGUUUUGACACAAAUAACCGUUUUCUCGUUGUCCUAUGUGAUCUU
RNAcentral lists this ribosomal RNA (2501 nucleotides) under Triticum aestivum (bread wheat). RNAcentral describes it as "partial small subunit ribosomal RNA". The record is from RNAcentral. Lineage: Eukaryota; Viridiplantae; Streptophyta; Magnoliopsida; Poales; Poaceae.